UGGUUAAGCUGAUAAGGGCACAGGGCGGAUGCCUUGGCACUAAGAGCCGAAGAAAGACGUGACAAGCUGCGAUAAGCUGCGGGGAGGGGCACAUACCCUGUGAUCCGCAGAUUUCUGAAUGGGGAAACCCGGCUGGGAGGCCCCCAGCCACCCAUGCGCGAAUCCAUAACGCAUGGGGGGGAACCCGGGGAACUGAAACAUCUAAGUACCCGGAGGAAGAGAAAGAAACAUCGAUUCCCUGAGUAGCGGCGAGCGGAAGGGGAAGAGCCUAAACCGGCACGCGAAGCGCGCCGGGGUAAUGGACUGCAGGAGCAGAACGGAAGCCAGGGGAACGGUUUUGGGAAAGCCGGCCAGAGGGGGUGAAAGCCCCGUACCCGAAGGCGGAAGGGAGCGGCAGGAUCCGGAGUACCACGGGACACGUGGAACCCUGUGGGAAGUCGGGAGGACCACCUCCCAAGGCUAAAUACUACUUAGUGACCGAUAGCGCAUAGUACUGUGAAGGAAAGGUGAAAAGGACCCCGGGAGGGGAGUGAAAGAGAACCUGAAACCCUGUGUCUGCAAGCUGUGGGACACCCAUAUG
This 580-nucleotide ribosomal RNA is filed under the name bacterium D16-36. RNAcentral's name for it is "bacterial LSU rRNA". It matches the Rfam family "Bacterial large subunit ribosomal RNA", at positions 1 to 588 of the family's 2925-position model. The record is from RNAcentral.